CUCAUUAGAUCUACAUGCCACCUUGAGUGGUAGGCUCUCUGAUUCUUAUUGCUUCUCCCCACUAGUUUCGCAGAGUAGGACUAUAAAAAUUCAAGGAGCGAGGCAAAUUGCCACAAUCACACAGCUAGAAAGGGGCUCAAUACAGGAUGCCUGGCUACAAAGCCAUGUUCUCCAGUACCGUGAUGUACAGUUUCACGGUGUAUCCUUGCACUGGACUUCAGGGAGCUCACUACUUCUCAGGCAAGACUGCCUACUGAAUAGUUAGCACUGGCUGUUAGAGAGUCCCUUCUUUAAAUGAGCUUCAACAUGGUUCUCUGGGUUCCUGGUUCUGCAGUCAAGAUGAAGUCUUGGGGACUUUCUUGGUGACAGGUGGCCUUUGGAGUCAGGGACUGCUCCCUUCCCAUGGCCCACGUCAUGUUUGGCCACCCUUGCCUUGGGGACUGGUUACCUUCCCAGGACGUAGGUACACUCACCUGAUGGAAAUAUCCCGGCGACAUGUUCAUUGUGCAGGAGCCGUCCACUGUACACCGAAGUAGGAGUGUGUUACCUUCUGCCACCAGCAUACGACCCUCAGGCUGUAGCACCUGCCAUUUACUCCCAUAGCUCGGCUCAGAGGCUCCUACAACAGAGGAAGAAAGGAUUUGUGCUUAGCAGGAAGGAACUGGAGCCUUAAGAGCAUUAUUCCUAUCUUCACAGAAGACCCUGACAGCCCAGAUGAUUAGGUAAGUUUCCCAGGAUCACUAUUUAUGGGCUGAAUUGUGUCUCCCUGGCCAAAUUCAUAUGUUGGGGUCCUAACCCCCAGUACCUCUGAAUGUGGCUUCAUUUGGAGAUAGGGUUGUUAAAGAGGAAAUUAAGUUAAAAUUAGAGGAUGAGGGUGGACCCUAAUCCAAUAUGACUGGUGUCCUUAGAAGAAGAGUAGAUUAGGACACAGAUACACAAAGAGGGAGGCCCACAUGGAGGUAUAGGGAGAGGAUGGUCAUCUGUAAGCUAAGAAGAGAAGCCUCAGAAGAAACCAACCCUGCUGAUACCUAGACUUCCAGUCUCCAGAAGUAUGAGAAAAUACAUUUAAACCACCAGUCUGUUAUGGCCACCCAAACUAAUACCUCAUCCAAUAAGAAUGUGACAGUCUGUUUCUGGAGCCCCUGCUCUCAGCUCUCAGCUCACAAAUGUAUCACACAAAGUGUGUGCACGGUGGUGUUUAGUGUAAACAUCCUCCUUGUUUCCUGUGGAUUCUUUUUAAAAUUAAUGAAUUUUUAAAAAUUUUAAAGUAAUUUCUGUGCCUAACAUGGGACUUGAACUCACAACAUUGAGAACAAGAGUCAUAUGCUCUACCAACUGAGUCGGCCAGAUGCCCCUUGCCCCACCCCCGUGAAUUCUUUUCUUAAAAAAAACUACUUUAUUGAGGUAUUAUUUACAUACAGUAAAUACCAGAAAUUUUAUGUCCUGUAUGCAGUUCUAUAACUUUAAAAAUUUUUUUAAAAAUAUUUAUCUAUUUGAGAGAGAGACACAGAAUUACUCAUGAGAGAGACCAUGUGCAGAGAGGAAAGGGAUAAAUAGACUCCCUGUGGAACAGGGAGCCAGACAUGGGGCUCGAUCCCAGGACUCUGGGAUCAUGACCUGAGCUGAAGGCAGACGCUUAACUGACUGAGCCACCCAGGCACCUCAAAACAUUUUUUAAUUUGAAGUAGAGUUGAAUAUAACAUUAUAUUAUUUUCAGGUGUCUUGUGUGAAUUCUUUGCCAAACUGCAAUGCUUGGGGGAUCCCUGGGUGGCUCAGUGGUUUAGCGCCUGCCUUAGGCACAGGACGUGAUCCUGGAGUCCCGGGGUCGAGUCCCACAUCAGGAUCCCUGCAUGGAGCCUGCUUCUCUCUCUGCCUCUCUCUUUCUCUGUGUCUCUCAUGAAUAAAUAAAUAAAAUCUUUAAAAAAAAAACUGCAAUGCUUGUUGGUGUGUAGGGAAGUGGGUCUAUUUUGGUUGUUGAACUGCUGAGUUGGGCCUUAAAACAGGCACAGAGAAAGAGGACCAAGGCCUCUCAUGCAAGUUCUUUCAUACCUGGGUAAUAAACAUCAUCUCAGGUGUUCCCCUCAAGAACUCCCUGAGGCAUGAGUUAUUACCUCCAUUUUUGAGAUGAGGAAACCUAAUGGGGAAGAAACAUGAGGGGACCAAGGCAUUCCAUUAGC
Canis lupus familiaris (dog) is the source of this 2177-nucleotide long non-coding RNA. RefSeq lists it as uncharacterized. The transcript has 3 exons. The record is from RefSeq and is a predicted model, not a curated record. NCBI's taxonomy places the organism in Eukaryota, Metazoa, Chordata, Mammalia, Carnivora, Canidae.